AACGUACGCUGGCGGCACGCCUAACACAUGCAAGUCGAACGCAGUAGCAAUACUUAGUGGCAGACGGGUGAGUAACACGUGGGAAUCUGCCUUGUGGUUCAGGACAACAUUGGGAAACCGAUGCUAACACUGGAUAAGCCCUUACGCGGAAAGUUUUAAUGCCAUAAGAUGAGCCCGCAUUUGAUUAGUUAGUUGGUGAGGUAAUGGCUCACCAAGACAAUGAUCAAUAGCUGAUCUGAGAGGAUGAUCAGCCACACUGGGACUGAGACACGGCCCAGACUCCUACGGGAGGCAGCAGUGGGGAAUCUUGCACAAUGGAGGAAACUCUGAUGCAGCGAUGCCGCGUGAGUGAAGAAGGCCUUUGGGUUGUAAAGCUCUUUUGUAGGGGAAGAUAAUGACUGUCCCCUAAGAAUAAGGUCCGGCUAACUUCGUGCCAGCCGCCGCAGUAA
RNAcentral lists this ribosomal RNA (449 nucleotides) under uncultured bacterium. RNAcentral describes it as "partial 16S ribosomal RNA". It matches the Rfam family "Bacterial small subunit ribosomal RNA", at positions 29 to 523 of the family's 1533-position model. The record is from RNAcentral.